CCUACGGGUGGCAGCAGUGGGGAAUAUUGCACAAUGGGCGCAAGCCUGAUGCAGCCAUGCCGCGUGUAGGAAGAAGGCCUUCGGGUUGUAAAGUACUUUCAGCGGGGAGGAAGGCGAUAAGGUUAAUAACCUUGUCGAUUGACGUUACCCGCAGAAGAAGCACCGGCUAACUCCGUGCCAGCAGCCGCGGUAAUACGGAGGGUGCAAGCGUUAAUCGGAAUUACUGGGCGUAAAGCGCACGCAGGCGGUCUGUCAAGUCAGACGUGAAAUCCCCGGGCUCAACCUGGGAACUGCAUUCGAAACUGGCAGGCUAGAGUCUUGUAGAGGGGGGUAGAAUUCCAGGUGUAGCGGUUAAAUGCGUAGAGAUCUGGAGGAAUACCGGAGGCGAUGGCGGCCCCCUGGACAAAGACUGACGCUCAGGUGCGAAAGCGUGGGGAGCAAACAGGAUUAGAUAUCCUCGUAGUC
RNAcentral lists this ribosomal RNA (465 nucleotides) under uncultured bacterium. Its description in RNAcentral is "bacterial SSU rRNA". It matches the Rfam family "Bacterial small subunit ribosomal RNA", at positions 338 to 795 of the family's 1533-position model. The record is from RNAcentral.